GCUAUUCCUGUUUGUUAGUUUUUGUUCUAACAGUCGGGCCCCUCAGCUGCAGGUCUGUUGGAGUUUGCUGGAGGUCCAUUCCAGAUAAUGUUUGACUGAGUAUCUCCAGCAGAGACUGCAGAAAAAUAUGCCCUGCCCACAGAGGUGGAAUCGAGAGAGACAGUUGGCCUUGCUGAGCUGCCGUGGGCACCACCCAGUUUGAGCUUCCCAGCAGCUUUGUUUACACUAUGGCUGACUAGCCUAGGAGCAUAAGAUGUCACUUCUCCUCAAAAAGAAGACCACAGCUACUGGUGAAUGGACAUGGCUUGAACGGAAAACUAAGGGAAGAGAGCCGGAACCUGUUGGAGUCCUGAUGGAAAGAAGCUGGGGUGCAGAAAAGAAAAGCAGAAAGAAUCUGGCAGAGAAUAACCCCCUGAGGAACUCGAAGCCCCACAGAAAGGUUGUUUACUCAGACCCAGGGAGUGACUGGUUGUGCAAUGGUGAGCAAAACGAAGCAUCUGCCUUUAACUCAGUGAGAGGAUGACAAUAAAUAAUCAUCAAACACAUCAUUGCAAAAUAGGAAGUGAAAUAAAAAGAAGAGCAUGAUGAAAUAGAGAAUAACAUGGGGUUGUGUAUGGAUGGAAUAAUUAAAGAAGGCAAGGGGAUCCUAAUGAAUGAGAAGAAGACAAAAAUCCUGGAAGGGAAAGAGCUUUCUUGCGGAAGGAAGACUAUAUGCAAAGACCUCAGGAAAAUGAGAAACUGAAAGAUGGGCCCUGUGACUAGCAUGAAGUGGGUGAAGGAGAAAUGAUGUGAAAUUAAAUUGAAGAAGUCAGCAGGAAUUAGACCUCCUACAGCCAUGCUGGCCAAGAUGCAGAGGCCACUUCAUUCCUUGUGCCAUGAGAAGCUUAACCUAAGAGAGAAGUGCCCAGAGGUGGUCUUGACUUUCUACCAAUGAUCCAGAUCUGAAGAUUAUUUUAGUAUCACAUUUCUAUUAUUUCACAGAAAUUGAGUAUAAAUUAAAUUGUAAUCUUUAAGAAGUAUAUAACUAUCAUAUCUCUCAUAGAUUUAAGAUAGCUGAAUAAUAUGAUAAAUUUGGACUUGCAAAAAAAGCAUUUAAUAUCUCCUAUAAAACAAUGCCCUACUAAGUGCUGAAGAUAAAACUUAAAUAGAGUACUCUAAAUCACUGCUCUGUUUAUGAUAUCACAAGAAAAGAUCUACUCUUUAAAUCCGCUGGCAAUGCUUCGCUGUUUCAUCCAGUUCAUUUCAUGUAUGAACUGGACUUACUGAAACAUUUGUAGGAAUACCCUUGCUAGGUAAAACAUGUAUCUGCAAUUUGAUAGCAUUAUUUGCAUUGCUGUCAUUUUGACUACGUAUCAUCUUGUUUUUUCUGCUUUUAGAUGUUCUUAAGGGCACAGUAAAUAGAGCUCCCUAGCAGCUUUUCUUUCCUAUUUGAUCCUCACAAAAACCAUACUUUGGCUGAGUAAAUAUUGUCUCCUUUUUAUAGAUGAAGAGGUACAAGCUAACCUCACUGAGCUUCAGAUUUCUAACCUAGAAAACGGAGGCAAUGAUACUUACCCUGCCAACAUCUCAUACCUACUCAGAUAAAAGAAAAUAAAAUAAUGGAUGGGACAGUGCCUGAAGAAAUAGAUACAUCAUGAAAGAUAAGCUAGGAUUAUUUCAUCAUAAAAUAGGACACUUCUGUAUCAUAAACAUUAUAAUACAGAUGUAUAAAAAGAGUGCAUAUGAUCCAUAUCACAUCUUCAUUUUGUUCUAAGCCCUCAUGGUAAUGAACUUUGAGAUGAAAGAAGACCUAAAUCUGUCACUACAGAGUGGCUCAAUCUCUUACAUUUUAAAACAUCUCCUUUUAGGUUAAUUCCUACCAUUUUUGGCAAAGGGUAAGUCAAUGUAAAGUUGAAAUUCCUCAUUAAGCUAUCUCACCUGAGUGAAAGAUUUCCUAGAAAAUAUGUGUGUACAAGAAGACACUUAUAUAUCCUUAUGGUAUUGUGGCAGGACCCCAGGGGUUAAACCAGCCCCAUGCUCCUCUCUGGCUCCCAUUGGCUCUUGGCUGAGGUAAACUCACUUUACCUGUGUUCAUGUUGGUCGCUAUCAUCUCUGCAUCUGCUUGUGAAGUUUUACAACUAGUAUCAUGCUAAUUUCUUCCCUCAGUCCAGCCAUAGUCCAGCAGUUCACAUCCUGCACCUCAGCCCAACCUCAUUUCUCUCUUCAGAUCAUCUAAGCUUCACCCCUGGGCUCCGUCUGAACCCUGACCAAGUCUGCCCUCUCUUCCACUUCUGGUAGGGGUUCUUUGCUCCCUUCACUACUGCAGCCCCAUUACAAACCUGCUGACUCUCAACCUUCGGUAUCACUGGGGACAUGUGAGAAAUUCUGAAUCUCUUCAGUGCUAUCAACAGGUGUGAGAGAACUGAAGGAAAGGAAGAGGAAUACUUUCUUCCCUGCCUCUCCCUCACGCUAUCCAGUUUCUACACUUGCUGCGUCCGCUUCUUGUAACAAAGGGUGCUCCACCAGGCUACCUCCAACCAGAAUCCCAAACUGGAAAUAGGACACAACUCCAUUCUGUCCCUGCUUUUGAAUUUACAACUAACCUGUCCUUUUUAUUCUACAUCUGUUCCUCACCUUGGGUUUCAAUGAAAAAAUGGGAGAAGAGCAAUGGUACCUUGUGGCUUCUAUCUCUCUCUGUUUCCUUCUCUCAACUCUUGUUCUUUUUCCUGAAACUGCUGUGAACUUCUUUACAUAAUAUUUUCCUUCUUUUCUACUUCUUUUCAUGUGGUGAAUAGUGGAGUGGCAUACUCCAAUUAUCUUGACCAAUAAAGGGAAAUAUAAUCAUGCACCAUGUGUGGUUGAUGACAGACUGCAUCUACAACAGUAGUUUCAUAAAUCAUAAUACUGUAUUUUUUACUCUUAGCUUUUCUCUGUUUAGAUAUGUUUAGAUACACACAUACUUGCCAUUUUGUUACAAUUGCUUACAGACUCAGUAAAGUCACAUGCUGUACAGGCUUGUAGCCCAGGAGCGGUAGGCUUAUACCAUAUAGCCAAGUUGUGUAGUAGGCCAUACCAUCUAGGUUUGUGUUUAAUUAUACUCUCCCAUAUUUGUACAAUAAUGAAACUUCUAAUGACACAUAUCUCAGAAUGUAUCCCCUUUGUUAAGUCAUGCAUGACUGUUUAUCUAUCUGUAUUUUCUACAUUCUAAUCUUUGACAUAUCUCCUCAUACAAUGCUACAAGACUCUCAAGAGCCAGUGACUCGGUUACAAAUUUUUAUAUCAACAGCACAUAACCCAGUGCUUUGCCAACAAUUGACACUCACUAAAAGUUUGUUGAGUGAACAAACGAUUGAGUCUCUUUAAUUUAUAGGUGAAGAAACAGAGGUGAGAGGUUUUGCCCCAAUUAAACAAUCAACUAGAGGCUUAGCUGGGACAAGGUCAAGUACUCUUUCAACAUAAUAUACUACUUUUUACCAUUCUUCCUUAAAUUGCUGGCAAUAUAGAGCCUAGAAUAUGAGACCAAAAUGCUAGGAGGGGAGGAGGAAGAAAUAAUAAAUAAAAAACUUCCCACCAAAGAAAAACCAAGCUUCAUAAAAAAAUCCAAAGGGAAGUAUUUAUAAUUAAUAUAUGGUUAAUUUUCUCUUUGUCCAUACAGCAUGAAGCCAGCUCAAAUCUGUACUCCUAAAAAUCUCUGAAUAGAGAUCUUAUAAAAUGCCAUAAUUCCGCUGUGAUCAACUACUUGUGGUUGUGGGAAUGGAUUAUAGCAAAAAUUCUUAUAGACGUUUUCCCCUAAAAAUAGACAUAGAUAAUAAUACAUGAAAGUUGUAAUAGAAAUUAAAGUCUAUUCAUCUGAAAAUGGAAUUCUCUCAUUUCACUGACUUAAAGUUAAUUACUUAUCAAAAUUAGUAACUGAUCUUUUCUCUCCUAAAAGAUCCAUCCCAUUCAGAAAUCCUGUUGAAGAAAUGGCUAGCUGCUACUCACAGAGUAGUAACAAAUAAGAUUUCAAAUUGCAGCAAACACACUCAAGUACAUUUUGAUAAACACACACCCAAGAAAUUUGGGAAGCUAAGGUUACGAGUUUGAAACGUUAUUUUCUUAAUGAACAGCAGUAGCACUAUUCUCAGGAAACAUACCACAGAGGGAAGUGAGAUUUUAAAUCUAUUUAUUUAUGUUUCUGAAGAGGAUUUAAGUAAUCCUGCUUUUAUACAGCAGGUGCCACAGCAGACCAAAGCUUCUAAUAGAAUAUUAGUGCAGUGAAUUUAUAUCAAGAAUGAUGGCUCUUUUGAAGAAUGCAAUGGUACACAAACAGGAGGAAGUCCAUUCGUCCCUUUAGCUCCUGCCUUCCCAGUUUACCUUCUUUUCUUCACUCCCACAUUGUUAGUUUUUCCCUUUUGUGGGGAGUUGGGAGGAUCUGAGAUGACAUGACAUGUUGCUGCUCAGGGUUUCUAGGCUCUAAUCCCUUAAAACAGUUAUGCGCAUGGGCACUAAGCAGGAAAGUACUCACACAGUGACAUCAUUCUGAAGUAUUAAAAUUUGCCACCAGAAUUGUUUUCCUCUUCAGAGAAUGAGAGCUACAGAUAGUGAUAUUUUGUGUGUGUGUGUGUGUGUGUGUAUGUGUGUGUCCUGUUAGGGAGAAAAAAACACUUGUAAAAUUCUUAGAAACUGAAAAUGCAUCAGUGAAUAGGUCUUUAUGUUGGAUAUUUAUGGGGAAUUUGGUUUGUUUUCUGAUUCUGUUUCAACUUUUAAGGAGCACCGUUAAUGUGAUUAAUUAGCAAGAAUUUAUUGACGUGAAAAAUCUAGACAGCCGAAUAUAUAUGAUUUUUUUAAAUGUAUUUUUUCAGGUGAAACUAUAAACUGGAGGCCUAAUUAAGACCUGCUGUUUCCUGAAAUUUUGUGUGCGCAGCCCUGGGAAGGAAAGUUGCACGGAGCUUUCCUUGAAGGGGUAAUCUUGAGAGAAAAUCCUGGCAUUCUAGUCACUUCUUUCAAACAUAGCCCUUACUUAAGAACCACAGUGAAUUUAUGUCUACGGUAAACAUGAAAGCCUGUUAUGGAACAGGCUUAGGGAAAACUCAAAUCAACGUGAUCAUCAUGAGUUUUGGACUUCAGCUGCUCCUAGCCAAUGUUUCCAAAUUUACGCUGAAACACCAUUAUAGAUCAUACAAUUUUAGCCUGUUGACGUUUUCUUACCUCUUCUUUUCCCGUUACUUUGUUAAGAAUGGAAGUCACUCUUCCUAACAAGAGAGAGAAAAUCACCUUGCAAGAAAUAUAAUAAUUCAAAACUAUUCAUUGUAAAAUAAUUUGACUUUUGAUGAGGUUGCAAAAGGCCUGAAUUGAACAGAUUUCUGACCAGCUCCCACUUUAUCUGCUUUCAUUAGAAAAAAAUUUUUUCCUAAUGUUGCUUUUUUAUUAAAUAGUUC
This 5396-nucleotide long non-coding RNA is filed under the name Homo sapiens (human). RNAcentral's name for it is "HSALNT0204260". The record is from RNAcentral. Lineage: Eukaryota; Metazoa; Chordata; Mammalia; Primates; Hominidae.